Molecule: regulatory RNA element, 158 nt
Organism: Streptomyces sp. CB02400
Lineage: Bacteria; Bacillati; Actinomycetota; Actinomycetes; Kitasatosporales; Streptomycetaceae
Rfam family: c-di-AMP riboswitch aptamer (ydaO/yuaA leader)
About the family: This family represents a conserved RNA structure found upstream of the ydaO and yuaA genes in Bacillus subtilis and related genes in other bacteria. The ydaO/yuaA element is thought to act as a genetic "off" switch for the ydaO and yuaA genes in its native state. It is believed that the element may be triggered during osmotic shock leading to activation of ydaO, a predicted amino acid transporter gene, and members of the yuaA-yubG operon which code for KtrA and KtrB K+ transporters.
Source: Rfam
CGUGCGCACGCGCCGAAUCCCGCAAGGGAACCGGGGAACCACCACCAUGGGGUGAAUCGCGUGGAUACCGCCGUGGCGACACGGCUCGUAUACGCGCGUAGGAGACCUUCCCGCUCCGAACCCGUCAGCUAACCCGGUAGGCGAAGACGGAAGGAAAG